CAAAAAUAAAGAUGUUGUAGUACUACAAUGUUUUUCAACUGGACAAUUUGUGUCUAUUAAUGAAAAUGAUAAGGUUAUAUUUACAACCAGUUACUUAAGAAAUGCUCAGUUCAUUAUUCACAUAAAAAGCAAGGGUAAGUUUUCAUUGCAGAGUAUUUGCAAAAACUCUUUGUGGCUUAAAGUAGUGGCAUCAAACUUGGUCACAAAUUUAUGUGAAUGUGAACUUCAACUGAUACCAACACAAGACAAAAAGGCUACUUUGAUAUGUUCCUACCAGCAGAAAUUGAGUUACGAGCAACGGAGUAGCUUCACUCAGUAUCACCUGAUUGCUCCAGUA
Amphimedon queenslandica is the source of this 337-nucleotide long non-coding RNA. RefSeq lists it as uncharacterized. The record is from RefSeq and is a predicted model, not a curated record. Lineage: Eukaryota; Metazoa; Porifera; Demospongiae; Haplosclerida; Niphatidae. The transcript has 4 exons.